RNAcentral lists this ribosomal RNA (282 nucleotides) under uncultured Allobrachymonas sp. Its description in RNAcentral is "uncultured Brachymonas sp. partial 16S ribosomal RNA". It matches the Rfam family "Bacterial small subunit ribosomal RNA", at positions 1094 to 1382 of the family's 1533-position model. Lineage: Bacteria; Pseudomonadati; Pseudomonadota; Betaproteobacteria; Burkholderiales; Comamonadaceae. The record is from RNAcentral.
GAGCGCAACCCUUGCCAUUAGUUGCUACGAAAGGGCACUCUAAUGGGACUGCCGGUGACAAACCGGAGGAAGGUGGGGAUGACGUCAAGUCCUCAUGGCCCUUAUAGGUGGGGCUACACACGUCAUACAAUGGCCGGUACAGAGGGUAGCCAACCCGCGAGGGGGAGCCAAUCCCACAAAGCCAUUCGUAGUCCGGAUCGCAGUCUGCAACUCGACUGCGUGAAGUCGGAAUCGCUAGUAAUCGUGGAUCAGAAUGUCACGGUGAAUACGUUCCCGGGUCUU